This 500-nucleotide ribosomal RNA is filed under the name uncultured bacterium. RNAcentral describes it as "partial 16S ribosomal RNA". It matches the Rfam family "Bacterial small subunit ribosomal RNA", at positions 30 to 523 of the family's 1533-position model. The record is from RNAcentral.
AUUGAACGCUGGCGGCAUGCCUUACACAUGCAAGUCGAGCGGCAGCACGGGAGCAAUCCUGGUGGCGAGUUGCGAACGGGUGAGUAAUAUAUCGGAACGUGCCCAGUCGUGGGGGAUAACGUAGCGAAAGCUACGCUAAUACCGCAUACGAUCUAUGGAUGAAAGCGGGGGAUCGCAAGACCUCGCGCGAUUGGAGCGGCCGAUAUCAGAUUAGGUAGUUGGUGGGGUAAAGGCUCACCAAGCCGACGAUCUGUAGCUGGUCUGAGAGGACGACCAGCCACACUGGGACUGAGACACGGCCCAGACUCCUACGGGAGGCAGCAGUGGGGAAUUUUGGACAAUGGGCGCAAGCCUGAUCCAGCAAUGCCGCGUGCAGGAUGAAGGCCUUCAGGUUGUAAACUGCUUUUGUACGGAGCGAAAAGGCUCUCUCUAAUACAGGGGGCUCAUGACGGUACCGUAAGAAUAAGCACCGGCUAACUACGUGCCAGCCGCCGCGGUAA